UCGUGCCAAGGCAUGUUUCAUGUGUGGUGUGGUUAGACAUCUCAAAAAGGACUGCCCACAGUCGAAGAAGGAGGAACCAAAGAGGGGUGACAACUUGCACUACACCAAAUACCCAUUUCCAUAACACAUGAAUAUAAUACUAAUAAAAAAGUGUUAUGCUAGAGUAUUAUAUUGGGCAUGAAAAAAGGGCAGUAAUAUACACCAUCCCGCCACUUAGCCUUUUUUUUUUCAUUACUGAGAACAGAAAAUUUGUGAGACCCGCCCCUUAGCCUUUUUUUUAUUCCUGAGACCAGAAAAUUUGUGAGACCCGAGAGACCCUUUGGCCAAAUCCUAAUUUCCUUUUGCUUCUCCCGGUUGUCGAGCCUGAUCGACUCGACUCUUUUCCCUGCCCCCCAGCCUCUCACUUCGUUUCGUUCUUCUUCUGUAUCGUCACUUGAAUGAAGACACCCGAUCGGCCCGACUUUCCCAAAUGUCCACCACCGGCCCUUCUCCUUUCCGGGUCUGGAUUUUUCGUGGUCGACGGGGAAGAAAGAAAUGAAUGAAUGUUCUUUUUGGAAAAUGUAGAAUAAUACAUCUACCGAGACGAAAGCCAAAGGUGAGUCACCCGAGAGACCUGAAAAUUCCUUUCAUUCAAUUCCUUCAACAUUUCUGAGACCCGAGACCUUCAAAGGCCAGGUUUUUCUUCUUUUCCUCUUCAUUUGUUUAUAAUGGUUUUCAUUUUAUUUUCUGUUCAGUAUAUGGGAUUUUAAAUCUUUUUCGUUUUGUUUUUUAAAUUGGUAAAUAGAGUUCUGGUAAAUCUUCGGUGUUGGAAAGCGUGGUGGGCAGAGAUUUCUUGCCUCGUGGAUCUGGUAUUGUUACGAGGAGGCCACUGGUGUUGCAACUUCAUAAGACAAAAGAUGGUCAGACUGAGUAUGCGGAGUUUCUUCAUGCUCCUAGAAAGAAGUAUACUGAUUUUGCUGCUGUGCGUAAGGAGAUCCAAGAUGAGACAGAUCGUAUUACUGGGAAAUCUAAGCAAAUAUCUAACAUUCCAAUUCAUCUAAGCAUAUAUUCUCCAAA
Humulus lupulus (European hop) is the source of this 1056-nucleotide long non-coding RNA. RefSeq lists it as uncharacterized. The transcript has 3 exons. NCBI's taxonomy places the organism in Eukaryota, Viridiplantae, Streptophyta, Magnoliopsida, Rosales, Cannabaceae. The record is from RefSeq and is a predicted model, not a curated record.